CACCAACUUUCAGCAUUUUUGAUUGAGGCCAUAAACUCAUUAGGAAAAUGUUUACUGAGGUAAUUAAUCAAGUGAGAAGUAGUGC
Molecule: long non-coding RNA, 85 nt
Organism: Sander lucioperca (pikeperch)
Lineage: Eukaryota; Metazoa; Chordata; Actinopteri; Perciformes; Percidae
Exons: 3
Source: RefSeq, a predicted model, not a curated record